This 73-nucleotide transfer RNA is filed under the name Candidatus Zixiibacteriota bacterium. RNAcentral describes it as "candidate division Zixibacteria bacterium tRNA-Asn". It matches the Rfam family "tRNA". From Rfam's summary of the family: Transfer RNA (tRNA) molecules are approximately 80 nucleotides in length. The record is from RNAcentral. Lineage: Bacteria; Pseudomonadati; Candidatus Zixiibacteriota.
UCCCCUGUAGCUCAGUUGGUAGAGCAGCUGACUGUUAAUCAGCGGGUCGUAAGUUCGAGUCUUACCGGGGGAG